AUCACUUCUCAGCCUUUUGGCUAAGAUUAAGUGUAGUAUAGAAGAUAGCUCUUCCCCCAUUAGACCUCAAAAUUCUAGUUCAAGGUUUCCCACAAUAGGGCAGUAGAGAUUUUUUUUCAAUAUAUUGCAAUUAAUGUAAUGUAAUUAGGGGGAAAGAGUUA
Podarcis lilfordi (Lilford's wall lizard) is the source of this 161-nucleotide non-coding RNA. The record is from the annotation of a GenBank genome assembly. NCBI's taxonomy places the organism in Eukaryota, Metazoa, Chordata, Lepidosauria, Squamata, Lacertidae.